GCUGGGCAAGAUGGUGCAUGCCUGUAAUCCCAGCGGCUGGGGAGGCUGAGGCAGGAGGAUUGCAAGUUCAAAGCCAGCCUUAGCAACUUAAUGAGGCCCUAAGCAAAUCAGCAAGACCCUGUCUCUA
This 127-nucleotide small RNA is filed under the name Marmota monax (woodchuck). Lineage: Eukaryota; Metazoa; Chordata; Mammalia; Rodentia; Sciuridae. The record is from RNAcentral.